This 495-nucleotide ribosomal RNA is filed under the name uncultured bacterium. Its description in RNAcentral is "partial 16S ribosomal RNA". It matches the Rfam family "Bacterial small subunit ribosomal RNA", at positions 28 to 507 of the family's 1533-position model. The record is from RNAcentral.
GACGAACGCUGGCGGCGUGCCUAAUACAUGCAAGUAGAACGCUGAAGGAGGAGCUUGCUCUUCUGGAUGAGUUGCGAACGGGUGAGUAACGCGUAGGUAACCUGCCUGGUAGCGGGGGAUAACUAUUGGAAACGAUAGCUAAUACCGCAUAACAGUAGAUGUUGCAUGACAUUUACUUAAAAGGUGCAAUUGCAUCACUACCAGAUGGACCUGCGUUGUAUUAGCUAGUUGGUGGGGUAACGGCUCACCAAGGCGACGAUACAUAGCCGACCUGAGAGGGGGAUCGGCCACACUGGGACUGAGACACGGCCCAGAAUCCUAAGGGAGGCAGCAGUAGGGAAUCUUCGGCAAUGGACGGAAGUCUGAACGAGCAACGCCGCGUGAGUGAAGAAGGUUUUCGGAUCGUAAAGCUCUGUUGUAAGAGAAGAACGAGUGUGAGAGUGGAAAGUUCACACUGUGACGGUAUCUUACCAGAAAGGGACGGCUAACUACGUG